This 460-nucleotide ribosomal RNA is filed under the name uncultured bacterium. RNAcentral's name for it is "partial 16S ribosomal RNA". It matches the Rfam family "Bacterial small subunit ribosomal RNA", at positions 338 to 795 of the family's 1533-position model. The record is from RNAcentral.
CCUACGGGGGGCAGCAGUGAGGAAUAUUGGUCAAUGGACGCAAGUCUGAACCAGCCAUGCCGCGUGCAGGAAGACGGCCCUAUGAGUUGUAAACUGCUUUUGUACGAGGGUAAACGCAGAUACGUGUAUCUGUCUGAAAGUAUCGUACGAAUAAGGAUCGGCUAAUUCCGUGCCAGCAGCCGCGGUAAUACGGAGGAUUCAAGCGUUAUCCGGAUUUAUUGGGUUUAAAGGGUGCGUAGGCGGGCGGAUAAGUGUGAUGUGAAAUCCCGGGGCUCAACUGCGGAAUUGCUUCGGAUACUGGUCGGCUAGAGAGUAGGAGCGGUAGGCGGAAUGUAUGGUGUAGCGGUGAAAUGCUUAGAGAUCAUGCAGAACACCGAUUGCGAAGGCAGCUUACCGAGCUACAACUGACGUUGAGGCACGAAAGCGUGGGGAGCAAACAGGAUUAGAUACCCGGGUAGUC